UCCCUUUUUCUUGAAUGCUAUGAUAGUUCUGCUUUCCCUUGGAAAGUUUCGAAACUAUCUUAUUUGGUGCGGGGUCAGUUUUCUUCUUUCAAUUGCUAUUUGACUUUUGAUAAUUUCAUUCUUCUACUGUACUGUAUCCACUUAUCAGUUACUAGUAUUUUCGGAUAAUUUUACUUCUUUACUGAUUUCGACUUAAAGGUCAUAAAGGGCAAGUUCAGAUGCCAACAUUACUGUUUCCUUCCUGUCAUGUCCAUGAAUGGCUGUGUUGAUAUAGCUUCCCUGUGAGAGCUUCUGUCUAACACCUGAACUGAUUCAGUUGGUGCUAAACUAGGAGGGCUUGUGUGACAGCAAGUAACCAGUUUAGCGGCUAACUAUAAUUCUUAAAUGUUGGAAUUACGAACACUUAACAGUGGAGGGAGGGAGGGAGGGAGGGAGGGAGAGAGAGAGAUUCCAUGGUCCUUCUACCAGAAGUUCAGUUAUGGUGUUGAGCUGGGGGUAUAUCUGAGCCAUUUACUUGUACAUGUCCCAACUUUUGUGCCCACCAGAUCAUGAUUUGCUAUUGGCUUCUCUCUGUUAUUCUGUUUGUGGAAUUUGUGCUAGGUUCUGUUGAUGGCGAUGAUGAGUAAGGCUCAUUAGAGGUGUACUGAGUUCAGAUACUAUCGCUUGUUUUUACGGGUAUGGUUUUCGGUUAGGGUUUUUUGUGACUAGGUGGAUUGCUUUCUGUGAGCAACCAUUUCAAUGCUCAAAUGUCACACAGGGGUGUAAGGGCAUCUCCAACGCGGAUCACCAAGGAUACACUAUACAGAGUGGGUUGACCAUAUGAUAGACAAGCCAACUCUGAGCCUCCCAUUUUUAUUGAUAAAUAUGACCUCUCUUUCUACAAUUUGUGGUUAUUUGCUUAUGUAUAUUUUGGAAUAUUCUCAAUCUAUUAAUGAACUAUAGCAGUAUUGGGAUCUCACUGUAGUAUAUAUAUGUUAUCAUCUGUGGAACUUACAAGAUAUGCUCAUAGCAAACUGGAUUUUGUGCUAUUUUACACUUACAUACUCGGAAUGCUUUUACUUGCUGAUGCAUCAAGAGGUUCUACUUUAUUUGAGGGCCUUGGGAAGCGGCAGAGGGCUUCACAUCUUUUGUUCAAAAUAUGCUAUUAUUUGCAACUGUACGUCCUUUGUUACUUGCAUGUUCUGUUUCUAUGCUCAGCGUUCCCGUUUAGUCCUUCCUGUACUUUAUUUCGCGCAUGGUUUUCUUCCUUUUCGUACCUUUUUAUAUUGUAUAAAUUGUGCUACGUUGCUCUUUUUCAUUCAUGCAUCUGCUGCACUAUGGUCUAUGGCACCUCAAGCGUCAACCAAAAGAUAUUACAUUUGGUCUUCGAUGUCAUUAUAUAUUUCUAGGUUUGCCUCUUGUGUGUUUCCCUUUUUCUGUGCACCAUUGAUAUUUCCAGUAAUACUCCCUCCGUCCGAAAAUACUUGUCAUCAAAAUGAAUAAAAGGAGAUGUAUCUAGACGUAUUCUAGUUCUAGAUACAUCCCUUUUUAUCCAUUUCGAUGACAAGUAUUGUCGGACGGAGGGAGUAUGUGAUCUGAACUUCAGUGUACUGUGCAUCUUGAUCUCCUAUGUAGUUAAUUCCUUAGCUAUCAGUGGGUAACUUUUGACCUACUGCUUCCUUUAAUGAUAUACCCCCUCCGUCCCAUAAUGUAAGAUGUUUUUUGACACUACACUGUGUCAAAACGCCUUGCAUUAUGGGACGGAGGGAGUAAUUUUUAUGAAACGUAUAGGAAUAAACUUGCUCACCUAGAAACCUCGAUAUUAGAUUAUCACGAGCUACAAACGUAUGAACUACCACCAUGAAAUACUUCAAAGUCUAAUGAGUUCUGAUGAUGCUCUGUCAUGUAUUCUGGUGUGGUAAUAAUAAGUAUGCCUUGGAGCAGCGAUAGAGCUUUUUUAUGUGGCCGCCCUUCUCUGUAGUGAUGCCUGUUCAAGUCAUAUAUGCAAGUGUUGGUGGUGCUGUAAUUCAUUUGGUCAAUCUGGUAACAUGCAUGUCACAUUAGGAUGCAACGAGUGUGAGCGCAUAUGAGCAUUAAGAUGGAGAGAAUACUAGUAGGAAUUGCCAUGUCAGUGGCUUGGCUUUAUGCAUGAGCCCUCGGUGCAACUGUACUACCACACGAUCUGUACUUACAAUAUUAUGUUUUUGACAGCUACGUGCCUACAUGUUUACUACCAGAAUUUAGUGGCCUGUUGAUGCUGUUUGUAAAUUAUGUUGUUUGAGAUUAAAAAGUACUACUACCUCUGUUCCUAAAUGUAAGACGUUUUGGCAGUUUAAUUAACGUCUUACAUUUAGGACCACGGGGUGUAUUUCGUUUUGCGAGAACUACAGCUGUUGCUGGAUUUGCCCAUGUUUGAUAUUCUUGACUAUUAAUUUUCUCCCCAUAUACAUGUUCAGUGUUGCUAUGUAUGCACAUAUAUAAUGCCCAGUAAAUAUCAGAAUACGAAAGUGUUGCUGUACAUACACGUAGAUAAUGCCCAGUAAAUAUCAGCGUAACAAUUUGUACGGAAGAUUUUUAUUAUUCAUUAUCUUGAGGCGUAAUGUUGAUAAUCCCAAUUUUGAGUUUCCUCUGUGUCAAUCGGAAUUGUGAUGUCGUCAGCUGAUCACACCGUAGCUCCUUUGUGGAGUGGUUCUGCAUGAAGAACGGACACAAAUGAGGGCUGACUCAUCGCUUGUUGGUGUAAUCUUUGUCUAGGCUCGUUUGUUCAAGAUGAAAUUGUUGGCUUACUAAUG
Molecule: long non-coding RNA, 2771 nt
Filed under: Triticum aestivum (bread wheat)
Lineage: Eukaryota; Viridiplantae; Streptophyta; Magnoliopsida; Poales; Poaceae
Description: long non-coding RNA (TAES_LNC016987)
Rfam family: MIR1120/MIR1122 microRNA precursor family (bases 1438-1572)
Source: RNAcentral